UUUAUCUUCCUUGAAAGCAGUAACUAGAAACAGUUUAAAGAUAAGAAAGGGGGCUGAGAGGGCCUUUUGCUGUUGAAUAUGUCAUCCGUCUGCAGGUAUUACUUUUUUAUUGGAAGUAGAGGUUAUAUAAGAGAAUUAUGGUUCACUGUGUGGUCCCUCCUAUUAAUUCUCUGUAUUUAGAAAAAUAAUAAUGGCAUUUCACUUAAUCACAAAAGUGA
Molecule: long non-coding RNA, 218 nt
Filed under: Bos taurus (domestic cattle)
Lineage: Eukaryota; Metazoa; Chordata; Mammalia; Artiodactyla; Bovidae
Description: long non-coding RNA NONBTAT016612
Source: RNAcentral